This is a long non-coding RNA of Alligator mississippiensis (American alligator), 387 nucleotides long. RefSeq lists it as uncharacterized. The record is from RefSeq and is a predicted model, not a curated record. The transcript has 3 exons. Lineage: Eukaryota; Metazoa; Chordata; Crocodylia; Alligatoridae.
AGCCCAGCUCUCAGGACUGAGGCAGCAGCUUGCUGCCAGCCAGAAAGGGAGUAACAUCACUGGGCUGUGUUACUGUUCCAGGAACAUCUUGGAGUGCUCCAUAAAAAUGUGCUGGCAGAUUGAAAAGAAGUUCCUCCAAAAGACCUUUCCAGUCUAAUGGAUGAAGGUGCCAGUUGUGUCCUCUCAUCAACACAGACCAUAUCAUCACUGGACACAGCAACAUGGGUUAUAACAUCCAAGAUUUACUCUCCUGCUCCUCAACCACUGUCAUAUGUACCAUCACAUAUUUACAAUAUGUACCAUAUUUACAAUGCCCCUCCUUGGCUGUAUUGGCUAUAUUGGCCAGGCAGGGAAAUUCCUAUGUAAAAGAAUGAAUGGACAAUAAAA